UUUUUUUUUGGUGAGAGGCACGGUUUUGCUUCCGCGAGACGCAUAGCCAUGCCUCUCGAAAACGAAAAAAAAGUGUGUUUUUUCUUCCACAAGAGGCACGGUUUUGCUUCCGAGUAAGGCACGGCCGUGCCUCUACGAAACAGAAAAAUGCGUUUUUUUGUGAGAGGCAUGAUUUUGCUUCCAAUGAGAGGCACGGCCGCACCUCCCGGAAAUGGCUUCCGAAAAGGAAAAGAACAUGUCCGGUUUUUCCACAUAAAAAGUUCGUCAAAACAUAUAAAUAUGAGAUCUAGUUUUGAAGAUCUCGACACGAGCAACCGAACGGUGAAAACACUUUGAGAUUUGGACGCAUGGUUUAAGAGAUAAAACGUCUUGAAUAAACGGAUUUAUGAAAGAAAAAAAAACUCUCAGGUUGCGACAAGUGACGCACAUGCAGCGCAUCACUCCUUAUAAUCUGGGGAGGUGGAAGUGGUCUUUGGAAGGAUUCCUCCUCAAUUAGUGAUUUCGGGGAACUCCUCACGUGAACAUUUGUUCGAUCUGAAUCCUAUCUCGGCACAAAUCCCACGUCAGCCAGGCCUUUUGCUAGGCCUCUAGGCCCAACACAAUCUCCUUUCGCAUAAAAAUAAAUGAAUGUAAAAACUAUCCAAACUAUUUAAUAUACUAAAAAUAGGAAAAUCACAAUGACAUGCAAUAACUAUUGUCAUGGAUUGUACAAAAUUUUAUCGCCGUGUUGUAUACAUUUUUUUGACUAUGUCUAGUACAUUAUCAAAAAACACAUGCAUACUAAUUUGCCGUGGCUAAUAUAGAGAGACAAUCUUGUAGAAUGAUUGCCAUGAUAUAGAGGAAAACAAAAAAACACACAUAACAACACAAGUUUUCGAAGAUAGUGGGGGGCAUGUUAGGACAUAAGCUUGCCUUAUCUAAAAUGCCAUGCAAGAAAAUUAAGAAUUGCGAUGCAUGAGAAACUAAAUAUGUCAUGUACUAAAAACAUAAAUGAGAAACUAAUUAUGGUUAACCUAAGUUGCAAAUUGUUUCAUAAAAGAUGAUGGAACAAUUGCAAUUCUUUUUAUGAAAAAUAGUCUCAUGAUAAAAAUUGCCAUGGGCCAUUCUUUUUGUUUUGCCAAGGGGUACAAUGAAGAAUUUAUAAUGGUUUGUUUCAACAAAUGCGCCAUGUUCCAAAAUAAUUAACCAUGGUGCAAAAAAUUGAAUUUGCCAUGGCAGCAAAAAUAAAUUUGCCAUGGCCAAAUAUAUACAUAUGCCAUGAUAGAAGAACAAAAAAUAGAAUACAAUGGAUUGAAAUUGCCAUAGUUCAAAAACUAAAUUUUCCAUAUUGCAAAAGAGGACUUCACUAUAAAUCCGAUGUCACAUUUUUUACCAUGGAAAAUUGAAUGUUCUUUUGUAGCAAUUUAUGUUUAUCGAGGAUGUCAUGUUUAGUUGGCAAAGCAUGGAAAAUCUGCCUCAAUUCUUUUUUUUGGCCAGGAAAUUGCCGUACUCGUGAACUAAAAUUUCCAUCCUCACGCCGACUAAGUUUGCCAUCAAAAACUUAGAUCUGCCAUAUUCAGAAGAUUGACGUCAAAUUUUUAGCAUAAAAAAAUGGCCAUGGUCCAUAAAGUAAAUUUGCGAUGGUCAUGUGACAAAUAUAAUACUGCCCCCACCGAUCCAUAAUAAGCGUCGUGGUUUUGAAGUAAGGCUGAACUAAUCUUAGUUCAAAACUGCGACACUUAUUUUGGAUCAGAGGGAGUAGUAUAUUUGUCAUCGUGCAUAAAUAGAUUUGCCAUGGUCUGUAACGUAAAUUUGCCAUGUUACAAAAAGUAAUCAGAAAAAUUGGUUGCAUUUUCCAAGUUUUGGAAAAAUAAGAAAUGCUUUGUAAAGGCCAUGUGAUCAUAAGGAAAAUUAAAAAAAUGUUGCAAUGUGUGUAGAACGAAAUUCGUAGAGUUUUUAUGUGAGCAUUAAAAUAUGUUAUAAAUUUUGCAAUGUUUUCUAAAAAAGUUUUUCGAAGUUGCCAUGUGACCAUAAAAAAAUUCAAAAGUUUUCAUGAAUGGAGGUAAAUAUCCGAUAGUUUGCCAUGUGAGAAUUUAAAAAUGUUUACUAAAUUUGCCAUGUUUUGGAUUUCUUCCCUACAUUUGCCAUGUUGUUGACAUAGUAUGUAAAAAAUGCCCAUGGUAAAGAGACUUUGCCAUGCUAACUACAAUAACAAUGUCAUGACGCCCAUGAAAAUACUUGCCAUGAUUCUAAAAGAAUGAUAUUAGUGUUAAAAUGUGUGUAAGUUUGUCCUGGUGGCAAAUACGGUGUAAAAUUGCCAUGCUGCAUAGAAACCAAUUACCAUGGCGAAAACGCAUCUUAAAAUCUUGAGAGAGACAUUUCAAAACAUAAAUUACCAAGGGGGCACAUCAUAAUUUUCCAUUUUCGUGUUUUGACAUUGUAAAAUGUUACCAAGGCAAAAAGUGCAAACUUAAUUGACAUGGGAAAACAAAACAAAAAGUCCUAGAGUUUCGCAAGUGAGCACUAAUGUUUUUUGUAAAUUUUCCAUGUUUUAUAAAUUUUAUUUCUAAAUUUGCCAUGUUCAAAUAAUUGACAUAGUAUGUAAAAAAAUAUCCGUGAUAAAGAAAAUUUGCCAUGCUAUCUAGGUAUAAUAAAAAUGCCAUGAUGCACAUGAUUUUUGCCAUGAUUCUAAAAAAAUGAUAAUAAUGGCAAAAUGUAUGUAAGUUUGCCAUGAUGGCAAAACCGGUGUAAACUAGUGAUGAUGAAUAGAAACCAAUUUACCAUGGCAAAAAUGCAUAUUAAUUCAUCACGGAUACAUUCAAAACAUAAAUUGACGUGUGGACACAUCAUAAACUUGUCAUUUUGUUAUUUUUGACACCGUAAAAUGUUGUCACGGCAAAAUUGCAAACCUAAUUGCCAUGGACAGUUUACAUGACAAGAAUUUAGUUGACUGAAAAAAUUGGUUGCUGUUAAUGCAUAUUGCACAUGUAUAUCCUUCAGUUGACUGAAAACCCCAUGAAAGAAUUGCAGUAGAUGGAAGUGGAGUGUUUCUUUGCCUCUGGCAAAGCUAACUCCCUCUGCUGAAUCUCCUCCCCGAGAUGGACACCAGCUGCCGCUCUCCCUGCACGUACCUGGCGGCAGCCUUCACGUCCCAGCCGUCACAGCCCUGCCAGGCAUCUCCAGCAGCCCCUUCCGCCCGCCUCGUCUAAGGCCAACUCCGCCACACGACCUCAUCUUAUCUGGAUUUCGUUUGGGGUAGAACGGACGAAUAGCACGGCCCAACGUGCGGCCCUAAACAGACAAAUGUCCGAAUUCUGUAUGUUUUCGACCCAUUCCCGGCCCAAACUUGCGCCGAGUUUGGGGUGAAACGGACAUCGCGCGGACGGGCUCGCCGCACGCCCUUGUCCUCCCGUGGCCCGCCUGUCGAGGACACUAGCAGCCCCAUCGCUUCCAACGCCUCCACCCCUCUCCCCGCCCCACCCCCCGCCGGCGCCGCUGCUAUUCUCCGGCCGCCUCCUCACUGCGCAAGCCACGGCCGUCCAUACCAAACCACAUAUCGACAUGGCCGCCAACGCGCCCACGCUUUCGCCGUAGUUUUGGCCGUCGAUCGGAGGAGGUUUGGCCAUCGCCAUCGUAGCCGGUGGCAGAGGGGAUACGACCACCAGCGACGUACCACGGCGGCCGCGGCAGCUUCCGACGAGAGCUCCAGAGCGGCCAGUAGCCGGCCGCCAACCACCCUUGCUGCGUCGAGGUGAUCAUCGCGGCCUCUUUGCCACCACGAUCGCAAGGUGUUCGACACUUUGCCCAGAAAGGUAUGGACAGUGGAGAUGAGUUUUUCUUCCACCACUUCAUUUGUUCAUCGGACGAUUCAUCGUCGGAUGAUGAAGAUCUUGUGGUGGCUGCACUACACAUUCACGACCACAUUCAACGGCAGCUUCCUCGGUACAGGGGGUCACUCCCUGGUCGUGCUCCCAACCUGAACCGCAACAGGGAGAGAGGCCACGCCCUGCUCUAUGCCGAUUACUUUGCCAACACCCCGCUCUUCAAGCCAGAUAAAUUCCGUCGCCGUUUUUGAAUGGCAAGGCAUGUGUUCAAUCGUAUCCGAGAGGGAGUGGUUGCUCAUGACCGAUACUUCGAGUGCAAGACGGAUGCCCUUGGCAAGCUUGGAUUCUCCUCUUGCCAGAAAUGCACCGCGGCCAUCCGCAUGCUUGCAUAUGGAAUUCCAGGCGAUUUGGUGGAUGAGUAUGUGCGUAUGAGUGAGACAACAUGUCUGAUGUCAAUGUACAAGUUUCUGCAGGGCUGUGAUCGAGGUGUUUGGCCCGGAGUACUUGAGGCAGCCAACUGGUGCUGAUACAGAGUGAACGCAGCUAGAGGCUUUCCAGGCAUGCUUGGCAGCAUAGAUUGUAUGCACUGGGAGUGGAAGAACUGUCUAUUUGCUUGGUAGGGCCAGUAGAAGGGGCAUGUCAAAGCGUGCACUGUCAUAUUAGAAGCGGUGGCUUCGCAGGAUCUUUGGAUAUGAUAUUCUUUCUUCGGCAUGGCAGGUUCUCACAAUGAUAUUAACGUGCUGCAGCGUUCUCCAGUCUUCGCAAGGCUUGCAGAAGGCCACUCCCCACCUGUCAACUUUGAGAUCAAUGGCCACCAGUACAACAAGGGAUGUUAUCUAGCUGAUGGUAUAUAUCAUCAAUGGUCAACUAUUGUGAAGACAAUCUCGAAACCCCAAGGUGAGAAGAGAAGGAGAUUUGCCCAAAUGCAAGAGAGUGCUAGAAAGGAUGUGGAACGUGCUUUUGGUGUGCUUCAAUCCCGGUGGGGUAUCGUUCGAAACCCUGCACUGUCAUGGGAUGAAACGAAGCUUUGGGAGGUGAUGACUGCUUCUGUGAAUAUGCACAACAUGAUCGUCGAGGACGAGCGUGAUGAGAGUAUCUUCGACCAAGGAUUCGAUUACCAAGGUGAAAAUGUUGAGCCCCUGCACCAAGAACCGGCCACAUUUGAACAGUUUAUCCAAUUCCACCGUGAGCUGCGUGAUUGGCACACUCACUUGGAUCUUCAAAAUGACUUGGUUGAGCACGUGUGGGAUCACAUUGGCAACCAAUAGAUGUAUUGGUUCAUUUUAUGUUCAGUCAAGACAAUUUCGAUUUGGUUAUAAAACUAUUUUAUUAGAGACAAUUUUAGUUGGGUUGUAAAAUUAUUUUUAUUUCCAGACAAAUAUUUGGACGUGCAAACUAGUUUUGAUAUGAAAAUAUGAGCAUUUUUUGCCCUGGCAGACAGGAUGGGGCAAACGGAUGUGGCCGCGCGCUGGGCGCAGGCCACCGCAUCCCAGGACAGGCCCCACACGAUCCCAUCGCUCUACUCAAAAGGAUAAAAUCCGGUCAAACCGGACGUCCGUUUAGGGUAACGCGGUGGAGUUGGCCUAAGCUGCGCAUCGGCCUACCCCGAGCGCCCUACACCCUUGGCCUGCAUCGCUGCAGCCACCCCCGCGUCCAUGGCCGCCGCCAGGGCUAGGCGCUACUCCGCCGCGAAGCUCCGGCAGCAGGUACCAGAUUGAUGGGGGACGUCAUCACCUCCCAUCCGCCAGCAGCGCUCCCUCGUCCGGAGCCGCCUGCAGUUCCCCGCCGUCCGCCUCGCCUGUGACGUCAUACAUACCGCCGCCGCUCCAUAGGGACGGCGUCAUAGUCGUCCUCUGUUGCACAGGACGCUCCUCAGGUCGUUGGCGCGGAGAACAUAAAGUCUGAGAUUUUUAGCUUUUCCGUUUGUUUUUGUUUUUCAAGGGAAACGAAGACUUUUUUGACGCGAUCGGGCCAACUGUUUUGUCCCUGAGACCCAUUCCAGCAGCGCGCAUCCGGAUACGUCAUGCGUGCCGUACCAGAAAGACCACUGGCCAAACCUGACCAGCAGCCGCGGGAAGAGAAGGCCCGCGGUCUACCACGUAGUAUGACCCACCGGUUCUUUUCUUGUUGCGCUCAAUUCAGCGAGGAUGGGUCAGCUCAAAUUUGUUUCCGGCCGCCUAGACAGAAAGUUGUAGUUCGUUCGAGAGGACAAGAGACAAUUUUCCCCUUCAGAAAACAAAACCAAAGAUCACAAGGCACCAAGGAGUACAUUUUUUUCCAGGGGGCACCAAAGAAUACAUACCGAGUUGUGUAUCACAUUUCUUUAAGUUUUUUUUUCACAGAAGAGGGUAGAACUGCAAUAGUCCUAUUCUGGUCCGAGUUCAAAUGCACCCUUAAAAUCAGAAGAAAAAAUAGUGACCAUAACCCCUUAUUGUUGGCCUCGGGCCCAGAGAAAAAAGGCCCGUCCCACCAACAUGAGUUCAGAUUUGAAUUGAGCUAGCUUAAAAAUGAGGACUUCUACAUUAAAGCAAAGAAAAUCUGGGAGCAACCUGUGUCAGCUCAGGAUCCUAUUGAUAUCCUUAAUAUUAAGCUCAAACAUAUUUAAAAAAUACUUCAAAGGAUGGGGUUCCCAUUCCUUUGGACAUGCCAAGAAGAGGAAAAAAUACAUUAAAGAAGAGCUGGAAGAGAUUGAGAAAUUAGAGGAAGGGGGACCUCUUGACCCAGAACUAUAUGAAAAAAGGACGACCCUUAACUCGGAGCUCAAUGAGCUUCUGAUCAUGGAAGAAAUCUUUUGGUUGCAACACUCCAAUGAGCGAUGGUUGCUCAAAGGAGAUCGUAACACAGCCUUUUAUCACCGAGUAGCGAAUGGCAGAAAGCAUAAAAACACGAUUCACUCCCUCACGGCAGGAGAGGUGACCAUCGAGGGCACAAAAGAUCUCCUGGCACAUGCAACCGCGUUCUAUAAGGAGUUAUUUGGACCGGCCAGGGGAAACAUGUUCCAUCUAUCUCCUGAAACGUGGAUUGAGGAGGAAAAACUUAAUGAAAAGGAUAACAUUCUUCUCACUAGUGUAUUCACUGAAGAGGAGGUGAAAAAAGCUCUGUUCAACAUGGCUUGUAACAGAGCACCCAGCCCGGAUAACAUACCAGCAGAAUUUUAUAUUCAUUGCUGGGAUUUUGUCAAAAAAGACAUUGUGCGACUGUGUGAGGCCUUUUAUAGCAACUCCCUGGAUGUGGCUCGACUGAAUUAUGGGGUUAUCACCUUGAUCCCUAAGAUGAAUGGGGCUAAAAAGAUUCAGCAAUACCGCCCCAUAUGCCUCUUGAGAUGUCCUUAUAAGCUUAUAACUAAAGUGUUAGAUAAUCGGGUAGCUAUUUUUGCUGAUAAGCUGAUUAGUAGACAUCAAAAUGCUUUCAUUAAGCACAGAAAUAUCAUGGAUGGCAUCCUAACACUACAUGAGGUGAUGCACCACACUCAUCAUAAGAAAAGGGUGGGGGUUGUAUUGAAACUAGACUUUGAAAAGGCCUAUGAUAAAAUUAAUUGGGACUUUCUCCUUGAUUGUCACCGAGAUCGUGGAUUCGGGCCUACUUGGUGUGGGUGGAUUAAAAAAGUUCUUUGCAAUGGAACGGUUAGUAUUAAGCUCAAUAAUAAGGUGGGCCCGUAUUUCCAGAGUUAUAAAGGGGUACGACAAGGCGACCCAUUCUCACCUUUCCAGUUUAAUUUGGUUGUGGAAGUUCUUUCAAAAAUGGUUCGUAAUGCUCAAAAAGAGAAGUUGAUUACUGGGCUGGCACCUGAUCCCAUUGAAGAUGGGGUGGCGAUCCUCCAGUAUGCUGAUGAUACAGUAAUUUGUUUUGAACAUAAUGAGGAGGCCGCUGUUAAUCUGAAACUUCUCCUUUAUAUGUUCGAGCUUAUGUCGGGGCUCAAAAUUAAUUUCCUGAAAAGUGAGAUACUUUGCAUUGGGGGGGACAAUGAUACUUUGAGCUUUUAUGCUGAGCUUUUUAAUUGCCAAAUAGGUCACUUCCCAAUGAAAUAUCUGGGAGUGUCAGUCAGUUACUCGACGCUUCGUAACCUACACUGGAUCUAGAUUCCUGAAUGCUGUGAAUCUUGGAUUGGUAAUGCAGCCUCUUCUGGUGGGAGACUAAUCCUCCUUAACUCAUCCCUUACCAGCAUUAUUUACUUCUAUAUGUCCAUGUUUUUGAUAACUAAGAUGAGUAUUGACAAAUUAGAUAAACACCAGAAACGUUUCUUUUGGCAAGAACAUGAAGGGCGCAAAAGAUACCAUUUGGUGAAGUGGUCUAGGAUCUGUAGAUCCAAGAAUAAAGGGGGCUGGGGGUGAAAGACCUUUGUAAACAAAAUAUUAGCUUGAUCACCAAGUGGUGGUGGAAGCUUGAGACACAACAUGGCCUGUGGCAAGAUGUUGUUGGAGCCAAAUACUUCAAAAAGGACACCAUUGCCUCAGUUAGAUGCAAAUUUGGGGACUCUCCAAUGUGGAAAGCUAUUAUGAAAGUCAAGGAAUAUUAUAUGGCAGGUAGGUGUGUGGUUCUGAAUGCGGGGAACAUUGCUAGAGUGUGGAACGAUCCCUUGAAUAAUAGUCCACCUCUUUGCUCUAAGUACCCUAUGCUUUUACAAUAUCUGUAAUAAACAAUAAAUUAUGGUGGCUGAAUUUAAAAAAGGGGUGGGAGAUGAUUUCUUCCGAAGACGACUCCAUGCUCAGCUUAAUGAGCAAUGGGAGGAAAUGCGAGCCACGGUGGAUGCGUGGCCUUGCUCAGAGGACCCAAACCAGAUCAUUUGGUCCUUGGGCAAGAAGAAAAAUUCACAACCAAAUCGGUUUAUGAGUACCUGGAGCGUAAUCUAGCUAGAUGCGAUUAUAGAUGGAUUUGGAGAGCGAAAAUCCCCCUAAAAAUUCAAAUAUUCAUGUGGCAACUCUUUCAGGACUCUAUCCUGCCUAGAGAUGUCAUGAAAAGGCGGAGAUGGGCUGGCAACCCACAGUGCUCAUUCUGUAGAAAGAGAGAAACCUCUCAACAUUUGUUUUUUACCUGUCCAGUUGCUAGAGUGAUUUGGAGGACAGUUGGUUGUGUCUUGGGCACUAAUCUUUGUCCAAACAACAUAUGGCAAUACUUUUCAUGAUGCUACAUAUUUCUCCCUGAUGGUGCUAAAUACUAUACAUUUGGAUUGGCAGCUGUGUGUUGGGCAAUCUGGAUUUGCCGUAACCAGGCCACCUUUGAAGGGGGAAAAUUAAGAACCCCCUUUGACAUCGUGUAUUCUACUUGUAGAUAUUUGUCAUAUUGGGAAGGUCUGAUGAAUGGCGCUGAUCGGGAGGCUAUGGAGCGCGGUGCAAAAAUGCUGAGGACCAACACUUCGACAAUGAUGAGGCUGUGUGCGGCACCAAGUGGGGAGACAGAAGGCUGACGCGAGCCUGGUAUCUGAGAUAGUAAUACCUACUGGGCUGCUGUUGUGCUCCUGCGUGAGCUGGUCUUUGCUCGUUUGUGAGCUUUUGGUCUUGCAGUGGUAGUUUGAACUAUUUUCCUGUGUGGUUGGUUAGUUCUUGGGUGUCUUUGGGUUGUCGCCCCACGGUAAGCUGCUCGAUGCCAAGUGCUUACAGUGGGUUUCCCAAAGAUGCGUUGAACUUGCUAUCCCCUUUUUAGUUUCCUUUUAAGACUUUGCUGGAACUGAUGUAUUUCCGUUAUGAUAAGUAAUGGAAAGGGGUAUAUGCCCGGUUCAAAAAAAAGAAAAAAAAUAGUAAAAGAAUUCAAAACAUAAUAAAAUUUUUAGGUAAACUUUGACAAAUGUUUUCUAUGAUUGCAAAAUUUCAGCACGAAAUAACAUUCGUGGAAGUCGUGAAAAAAAAACAAAAUUAGCACUCCAAAAUGUUUUCAAAACUAGAAUUUUUGGAGCAUCAGUUUUUUUCCUUUUGCCACGACUUCCACGAAUGUUAUUUUGUGUUAAAAUUUUCAAAAAUACAAAACGUUUGCCAAAGUUUACUGCAGAAAAAUUCAGAAUUUUUUAUAUUUUUAACUUUUUUUUUGCUGUUCAUGAAGGAGCAUUUGAGCUCGGGAGCACAUAUUGCACGUCUGUAGAACCAUGUUGUCCAUCGGACACAUGCUCUAGGUAAUCCAUUUUGCUAAUUCUAAGUCGAUUUUUCCUGCAAAUUUUUUUCUAAGUCGAUUUAGACUUAUUAAAUGUAAGUCAACUCGAUAAUCACCUGAUUUACGUGGAGUUUCAUGUGCACUUUUUCCUUUGUUUUCUUUUCCGGAAUGCUAAAAAUCCGACGUCAGAUUAUUAAGCAUGGCUUCUUAAAAAAGGUUUAUUGAGCAUAACAAAUCCAAGGUUUUCUUAGGGUAAAUUGUGUGCCGUGAGCAUGAGAAUUUUUAAGCAAGCACUGACAAAUCCUUGCAAAAAAGAGAACAUGCUAGUUGAAGUGAAUUGCCACGCUCACGACACACAAUUUGCCAUAAAAACAUGCAACUUGCCAUAAAAACGUGCAAUUUGCCAUACUUAAAAGCCUGACAUCAGAUUUUUAGCAUAGUCCUUUCUUCUUCCCUUCUUUUCCGUUCUUUCGUGCAAGUUUUAAGUCACUUUGUGUUUUCUUAAGUCACUUUGUGUUUUCUUGUACGCGGAACUGUAGUUGCAUGAACGCAAUCCUAUGGUAAUUUUUCUUUUUUUUGGUCACUUGAUACAUAAUUUAUGCUGGUUUUUUGUUUACACUUUUGUUUUAUUUUACACUUACCUAUGGUUGCAUGCCCACCGUCCGGGCGUAACAAGACGCCGCGACGCGCACAAUUUUACCUGCACGUUCGCCCUUUCCCGUGCAAUUGCACACACAACAUCUCACACGUAACUGCAGAUGCAGCAACCCUGCACGUAACUGCAGAUGCAGCAACCCUGCACGUAACUUUACACUAUGGAGAUAACAUCAAUUUCCCAGCCGCCACUCUCUUCAACCCCUCCUCUGAUGCUGCCGCCUAGGAUCCUAGACCUGGUCUGUUACAAUACCCAACAUGAAUGACAGCCAAAUCUUUGAAUCGGUCCACCACCUCCUUCGGCAUAGGCAUGGUGUCGAUCAUAUAUGACUUUGCUGUUAUUGAUAUCUUAGUUUUUAUGUUUUCUUAAAUCUACCUAUCUUACCUACUAUAUACUUAGCUCGCUGGCCUCACGCAGCCGCCUCCUCUCCAGGAAAAAUAUUAGGGUUUCUCUGCCUCCCACCAGCACCGCCGUCAGUCCGCCUCGUCUCUGGUGGCCUUAGGACCAUGGGGCGUGGUGGAUCCUGACCCUUGCCGGUGAAAGCUCUGUUUUUAGUUUUUUUUGAGUUUUUUUAGGGUUUGUGUCCUACUCACGAAGGUGAGACGGCGGUGACUCCCUGAAGAUGAAAUAAGUUAGGGAUUUCUUUCUCCAUGGGGAAUGGAACCGGGACCCAAUUCUGGCUGGACCCAUGGUUGGGUGCAAAACCGAUCUGCGUGAGGUAACCGGACCUGUUCUCGAUUUGUGCGAACCCGACCACCCUUGUCUCUUCGAUGCUACAGGAUGGGCAAUGGCAUGUUAGAUUUCGCCGCACCUUUGGGCAAGCAGAGAGUGAAGACUGGAACAGGCUUCGGGAUACGCUCCCACACGUGCUGCCGGUGCACCCGGAUACUGUGGCAUGGAGGCUCACCCCGACGGCCGAGUACUCGGUGAGCACGACAUACCAUGCUCUAUGCCUGUCAUCGGCCACACCCUGGUUAGAUCCAAUGUGGAAAACUCCCGCACCCUUGAAGAUUAAGAUAUCCGUGUGGCAGCUUUUGCGCAAUCGCCUCCCCUCGGGGACUGAGGUACUUCAGCGACAAGGCCCAUGGAAUGGCCUGUGUCCUCUCUGCGUGGUACCGGAGACGAGGCGUUGGGGCUCGAUUGGGAGGCCUUGAAUCUUGUGGACUUCCUCCAACUUAGGGCUACUCAGCCAUCACGACAUCGCCGCCUUUUCUGGCUCAUUUUUGCGGCGAUGUCGUGGACUCUAUGGACUACUCGUAAUAAAAUGGUGAUUGAGAUGGUCCUCCCGUGGAAGGCAUCUGACUCAUACUUCAAAUUCGUCGCUUUUCUGCAGCACUGGCACCCGCUAUCGAGGCAGCGUGACCGCGCCCGGCUCGGCACCAUGCUGGAUGCGCUUCUGGCUACGGCUCAUCGGCUUUCUUCAUCGUAGUGCCGCAUGCUGACUGCCACUAGGUGGCUUUUUUUCCUGAUUUCUUUUAUGUUUUCUUGGGCAUGCUUGUGUUGUGGCCCCAGCCGUUGUUUCACGUCUCAGACUUGAAUAUUUGUAUGGACCUAUGCUUUAUCUAUAAAGUGGGGCAAAAACCUAUUUCGAGAAGAUGGAAUAAGUUCUCCCCGCCUAGCCCCAUUUCGUGGUGCGUCUAGCAUUGUCGGUGGGUAUGGAGGUGUGUCUCCGGCAGAUCUCUUUGGUGGAUUUGGUUGUCGUUCAUCUUCGUCUAUGUCUCUUCAGGUUGGGUCCUUCACAUCUACGCUACUCUUCAUCAGCAGCGGUUAUUGUUCUGAUGCGCUGGUCCUAUGGGGCAUUAGGACAACGACUUCCCGACUAUCUUCUGGCUCCGGCGAGGGAGGGACGAAGAUGACGGCGCGCCUUCGACUCGCUUAAGUGAUUGUAGUUGUCGCUUGGUGGUCUACGGAUCUGGAUGUAAUAUUUAUUAUUUUUGUUAUUCGUUCUACUACCAUGAUUGAAGAUAAAUAAUUGGAUUUUUUUCAAAAAAAAAAAAUUUAUCUUUCUUUCUUUUUUGUAAAUUGGUGGUGUUUGGCUAUAUGCACUUUAGCUAUGCAGAGGCCGUUGUUACUCAUCAUGCUUUAUAUCUACUUGAUGCUACAUUUUAAGUUAAUAAAAAACAUAUUUAUAAAAAAAUCCCUUUUUGUGGGAAAAAAUUUCCCCUUUCUACAUUUGUCAAAGUCUCAAGUUGUUAGUAGAAAACAAGGGUUAAGGCCAAUUCCACUGCCACUCAUGUGACACCAAUUUCAACAGCCCGAGCUGUAGUGACUUUUUUAUUUCAAACUAGUUGGCUGCCCGUGCGUUGCCAUGUGCCAACAAUCAUUUCUUCUCUCUAUUCUAGCAAACACCAUGCAUCACUUUAGCUGCUCUUUUUCAUUGAACUUGUCGUCGAGCACAUUCUCUUCCCAUACAUCAUUUAGCAUCUCAAUCAUUGCCCCUUGCUUCCCAUACAUCAUUUAUCCUCUCAAUCGUUCCCCUUGACUCUACAUGUAGCUUCUAUGUCAUCAUUUUGUUGUCUCACUCUUACUAUGUACGUCGUCUAAAGUGAAACACCAUAAAAGAUGUGAGAUAUAAGGCACCUCACUGUACUAAAAAUAAUAAGAAAAGGGGGCAUAUGGACAUGAAAUAACGCAGGCGCCAUUCCAAUGUUGGCGUCAGUGAAAUACCGCAUCCGCUUUGGGCCUGCGUCAUUGCGAAGCGGCCGCUCUAGAGUGGCAUGUAUGCAGGACAUCUAGCGUCCGUCGGGAACGCACACGGGCAAGUGAAGAGGGUUUGGGUGAGUCAGGGUAGUCAAGAGCGGGCAUGGUAGCGGUCCGUACGCUCACAAAGGCUCCCCUCCCACUUUGUCUCUGUUUGCAAGGAAAAGCGUGUCCGGACUGGCCUGCGGGCCGAUACAGGACCGCGUCCGAUGGAAGAACACAUCUGGAGGGUUGCUGGUGGUCUGAAGGUCGGUGUUAGAGAUACCCUAAGACUUUUGUUGCAUCGUUGUCAUCACAUCUUCUCCUCCACAAGCCCUUCCACUUUGAUUCUACAGAAUAUAACUAAAUGAGAACCUCUUUUGUCAUUGUGUCACCAGUAUGUUACGUUGUCACCCUGCUCCAAAUCCACUUUGAUCCUACUAAAAACAGGUAAAUAAGAACCAAGAAAGAAAGAGGUAUACAAAAAACAUGUCAAUUAUUAUUCAGUAACUAACCAAUGGCUUCGAAAUCGGUUGAGAAAUAGUUGAAGCCAAUCUGUUUUAACCAUUGUCAAAGGGAUUUGAUGAACUUCAAAGAAAAUUUCACGAGCACCCUCAAUUUGUUCAACCAAUUUAUGCUUACUCAAUAGCUCCAGAACUUGUGGAAUAUAAGGAAUAUUAUAAAAGUUAUACCCUGAAAGGUGAAUAAUUAGCUAUGUUUCUUAUUGUUUCAAAGCAUAGACGAAUAACCUUUUUGGUUGCUUCCAGGGAUGAGACAUACAACAUGAUAUAAGUAUUCAAUGGCAACUGACUGAACCGUAGUAGAAGAAGCAGAGUUAUCCCAUCCACUGCUAGCCUAGCAUCAGGAACUAGGUCUGGGCUAGUGCCUCCACGGUAGGAACCAACCACACUUGCGUCCCCAACCAAUCUUGGUGGACCGGGGGAGGGGGGUCCAUUGCUUGCUGCUGACCUCCGUGAAGCAAGCCUCGGCCAUAGCCCUGUGACCUUGGCCCAGAAAAGUAAUCACAACGCCACGUCUGUGACCAUCAUCCCCGAUGCACUCGAUGGCGUGGCAAUGUAACGACCACCUCCACCUCGGACCGUGCCCACAAGGAGAAAUCUUGCUGCACGGGGGCAUCACCCUGACCGAGCCCAACCACACCUGCCCGAAGUAGGAACCACCAUCCCGCCUCGAGCCUAGAUCCGGUCCGCCUGAGCACAAGCCCUAGAUCCAAGACCAGGCUGUCAGAUCCUUGACACUGAUGUCUCUACAGGAUUGCACCGCCUUCACCACGCCCAUCGCCUCGACCUACAAGGGUCUCCGCCACCACCCCGUGUUGCCUGCUCUACACCAACCGCCAAAGGAGACGGCUUGAACAAAGCCAACACGCCACCGCCAGGCCGGAUGCACAUCCCACCAUGCCCAAGCCCUCCACCAGAUGGAUCCAAAUUGGAACAGACCAGGCAAGCUGGAGCCACUCCUGCCACGCUCAAGCCGUCAUGGCAGAUCACUCCCCACCAGAGACCCAAAGGUCCUCUGUCCACGCCCCACGCGACAAGCUAAAUCCUAGCUACAACCCUGUCGAAUCUGGCCAGGACUUGGCCCACACGCAACCGCCCGAUGCCAACACAACCGCAUCCACUGCACUUCAAAUGGGCCCAACAUAUUUAUAAGGCAAGAAAAUUAAGUAUUGUUAGAAUUGGAAAAAGAAUACCAGAUAAUAGGUGCAAGUUGCUUCAUCUUCUAUUUAUUCUUCAAUACCAAACGAGGUUUUAUUUAUUGGAUUUCCACUAAAGCUGCAUUAACAUAUGGAAAUACGGAUGAAACAAUAUAAAAGGAAUGUAACAUAGCUUAUCAUUGGUGUUCUUAAAGAAAGAGCAAGUAUAUGGCAACAAUAUCUAUGCAUUUACGAAUUGAAUAUGCAGAUUGAAUUAGAUAGCUACAAGUAACAAACUAAAAGAUAACUCACGAAGUUUCAAUAAAAUUGGCAAGUUAUCUUAUAGUAUUACUCCUAUUAGAAACUUCAUGCAUAGGUUGUGAAAAUAAUCAUUUUUUCAUGGACUCAUAACACAUAACCAUACCACGUUCACAUGUUUAUGCACAUGAAGAAAACCAGAUACAACUGUGUAAGUUAAGAGAAUGUGGGACUGUAUCCUUCAACGUAUUACUGGAUAAGCCCCUAUAGGGAAAAAUAGGAAUAUUUCAUAAAUGAGAAUCAAUCUAUAGAUUAUUUGUCAUGAGCCUGCAUAUUGCAGAUGCUUAGGGCCUAGAAGCUACACUAAACAAAAGCCGGCAGGUAAACAGGAGGAAGCUUCGACCUUUCAGUCGGCGUCCAGCGCACAUCACUGGCCCCGAACGGACCAAGUAAUGAGAUUGGUGUGUCCAAUGAGGAGCCGGCGUGUAGGUGUUUAUUGAUUUUUCUUUUAGUAGCUUUUGCUUAUGCUAUAUGCUGGUUGCUUUUGGGCAUAUUGUAAAUUGAACAUGAACCAUGCAUCCUCCUUUGCUCUCAUUCUACCUGCUGCUGCUGCAGGCCUGCAGCUACCUAUACCCAAUCUUUUUGUUCUUUUCUGCUCUAGUUCCUUUGAUCUGCUCCUUUCUACUCGCUGCGACAAAGGUCAGGUCACUAACAUUAUUUAAACAUGGAAAGUGAAUGUGCACCUAGUAAAUGUCAGUGAGUGUGCCACUAUAUGUGCAUCCAAUUCAAUUCGUAUUUUUUUUUUGCUGACGAAACUGAUCUCCAAAACAGUGUGGACUAAAUUAUUUUAAAUUGCAAUGAUGUGGAAAACUAAAAAGCCAAUUUAUUACAUCACCAAUAACAUCAAAAGAGAAGUAUUUGAACUGGCCACGAGACUGAAUAUAAAUUUGGAAUUUGUAUAUGUUAUGAAAAUUUAUAUUCUUACAUCUACUUUUUACCUGAUCCCUUUAACUCAAAGGUAAAACACGCUACAGAAUUUUGCAUGUACAUGUGCACAUGCAGUUAGGGGCUAGGGGCAAGCUACAAAAUUAUUCAGUCCAGCUUCAAUAUAUAUUCAUCUAAACUAUGAUUCAUUCACAACUACAUCAAUUGUCAUGCUGAGAAAGAGAAAGCUCUGAUACUUAAUGCUUAUAUUUCUGAAAAUUUGGUGGUCCAACACAACAUGAAACAUUACCGGUACAUGAUGUAACACAGACAUAAAUCAAGGUUCUCCCUUGCCAUGCUAUAAGCUCCAUAUGCAAUUCAUCAAUGCCCAUCAGCCUUAUCCACCAAAAUAUAGCCCUGACACACAAACAAUAGAGAUGCAAGUUUAGGGAUAUGUCAUUAGCACGCACCAAAAGAAUUUGUAUUAACAACUUCAUUCAAUCCCAACCGCCAAUUCCCGAAGCCAACUUAUUAAAUCAAAUCAGUAAGUUGGCAUGCUCAAUAACAAAUUAGUAAGAGAGCCCGACGAACACGACAAGCCAAAGAAUCUUCGAGAACUCGUCCACUUCUUUUACAGCCAUCUCGCCCGACGCAGCUGCAUACCUGAUGUACCCUCCGCUUCGCUCCAUCUGUUCGAGCUACCCCUGCCCAAGCCUGACCCAACCUAGCUUCGCCUUGUUACAAGGUGCAUCAGUGGAUAGAAAACAGCCAGCUGACCUGGGCGGAUGAGAGGCCACCACUGGAUAUCUGGAUCUCGUUCCAAGCCUCUCUCCAUCACCUCUCGUUGUUCCAAGACGCCACUGGAUCCCAUUCCCCGGUUGCCUGAGGCUGCCAGUGGAGGGACAUGUGACGGCUAGGGCAUCGCGGCAGGGGGGGCGUGCUUAGGUCUAAUGGCCGUCGUGUGUUAGGCCGCCGGGGUCGCCGAUGGGGUGGUGGUCCAUCUACUGGGGGCGUCGGCAUCACUGACGUGGAGGCGGCGUGGCGGGGGUGGGAGAAGGCGACGCUCCUUUUUUUCUUCCACUCCAUCGUGGAUUAUUAUGCAAAGAGAUUGCAUUAUUACCAGAAAGCGGGGAGAUUGCCGAUUAUUCCAUCAGGAGAGACCUGGGCGAAGGAAAGAGAUCUGGUGUACGAUUGGAAGCUAAACGAUCGAAACGAACGACAUACCAUGACCUACCAUCACGACCGCAGACUCCUCUUUAGGAGUAGAGAUUGGGAGGCGGGGAUGGGUGCGGCCAACGAAGUCGCGGUAGGUCGUCAUCUUCCAGGAAGACGGCGCCCCGCGGGAGGUCGGCGUUGACCAGGAAGGCGGCGGCAGCGCACAAACCUAGCUUCCGAGCGGGCUGCCGCUGAGCGGAACCGUUCGCUUGCCAAACAGGAUGAAACAACCCGUGGACGAGGGUGUUGGUGUGACGAAAAAAGACAAAAAAAUCACGAAACAGAUAACAAAUUAAAUAGGUACAUAAAUGCUUUCAUGAUGAGGUUUAUUUGUUUCCAGAAAAUUCGUUAUUUGUUUCUAUAAAAUCUGUUAUUUGUUUCUUAAGAUAAAUUGCAUUAAUAAGAGAGAUCGGUUGAUUUGGACAAAUUAGGAAAGUUUAGUCCGUGAUUUUUUAUACGUUAGGAAAGUGCUGCUUUGCUAAAAAAUGAAGAGAAAAAUAAACCAACGUGGAGAAUGGUGGUGGGAGGGGAGAUGAAAAAAACCAGUGAAAAAAAAGAUUGAAAGUGGUGGGACAAAAAUAAACCAUACUCAACCAACUCAGGCAUUAGGAGUAGAGAUAUGAAUCAACAGGAGAGCUGGCUUCUACCUCCGAUUUAUGGUGGUUCUUUCCUCUUCUUUUCGACCCCUUGCUCUCGUGCUUGCAAACCGAUAUUCACUUGUUCAACCUGAACUUGAGGAAUCACUUCGCUCACAUGGAAGGCAAACGAGUGAGAUAUCUGUAUUACCGGGUUAGCCACGUGGACAAUGAAAACUGGCCUAGCCUUUCUAUCCAUCAGGCUGUUGUACCGGCACCACCUAACGUCGGUAGAGUAGAGCAAGGCAGCAACCCAGGAACCUGGACAAGGACACACACAGGAUCAGCUGACCCGUCCGAGCCAUCACCACGGCAUAAUACCACGCAUUAGCUCACGCCAGCUGCACUCCAAAGAGAAAAACCACGUCUCCCAAGAAAAACAAAAUGGCAAGUUGACAAGGACAACACAAGGGGCCGUGGCUUUCUCCGCCCUCCGUUUCGGCCGAAACCCAGCGGCCGUCAGCUCGCUCGCUCGCUUCCUACCAAACAAGGCGGCGGCCAUUCAUGGCGUGCGCGCGGAGCCGUAGACGUCCAAAACCACAGCGGACACGGCCCACCGUUACCUGCCCGCGCGCGUAUAAAGACCACACCCUUCCCUUUAGCCGCAGCGCCAUAAUCUCCGAGCUGCUAGCGCUACAGUCCCCAUCAACAGUUCAGGCUUACAGCUAGUUGCAGUACUACACGAGUACACCACCAAGCCAACGCCCAACAGAGAGGUUGUAGUGCCAUUGGGAGGAUGGCUUCGAUCGUGCUGCUGCUGUCGGAGCUGCUCGGCGGCGCGGGAAGCACCAGCAUGCUGGAGGCCAGCUGCUACAUGGGCGGCCACAGCCUGCGGGAGUUCCAGCCCGCGGCGGCCAACGGCGAGCGGGCGCCGGCGGAGCCGAAGCUGCGGGGAACAACCUCAACGGAGGUGAAGGAUGAGGAGCCGUCGUCGUCGUUGGACCUGGAGGAUCUCUCCGCCGUGUCCAGGAUAUCGGUGGACGUGAUGUGGCCCUGAGCCUGCCGCCAGCUCCCGCUGACUCGGGAGGUUGCUCUGUGUUUGCUUGCCGAGGACGAAGAAGAGAUGUGAUGUGGUUCCUCGUUGCCUCGAGUUCUAUGAAAUGAAGAUGUAAAUAUGCAAAGCCACCGCUGAAUGUUCUCCCUGUGUUCCUUUUCGUCUCGUGACUUUCUCUUUGGGGAUUCAACCAUCUGAUCAGAUCAUAAUCAACCGAACUCGUUUGCAACAUUUUUUUCUCGUAAUAAUCGACCGGGUACUGACAAUAAUCCCAUGCUAAUUGCAGAACUAAAUGGUUCUCGUAAUCGGGCGGAUAAUGACAGUCCAUCCAGCGGGUAUACCCACCCACCUUCUCUGCGUGGACUGCAGAAAACAACACAUUUUCCGUAUACAAACUUGCAGUCCAGUCUGAGAUAUUGCUGUAACUGAACUUUUUGUACUUUUAACAGCAUUUUUUUUUGUCUUGGCCUUGCAAGGCAUUGUUCAGGUAAACCACAAGAGCUCUGGAGUUUUUAAGUCCCACAUUACAAAUAACAUCAAACAGAAUUGCAAAUAGUAUCAAAGAUCAUACUACUCCAUGGGUGGUGGGUUGUCUUUGAUAGUUCGAUUCCAAGCAUAUCUGCCAUUCCUGCGAUUUUGUCGAUGUAUAUUUUAAGCAACCAUUGCGUGUGGUUUAGCAGAAACGUUUGCUAGGAUAUAACUAUGUGGGAAGAGGUUACUGGAAAAUAUUGGUGGCCUUGCACAGAUCAUACACCGGCGGAGUGACCUUCAAGAAACCGCUGGAAGUUCUAAAACCACCACAGAGCAGCCUAGAGUAAUUGCCCACAACGAUUGUUCAUAUUACAAGCCCGACAGUGAUUUCCCUACAAAGCAAGCAUGCCUAGAUGACAUGUUAC
Molecule: long non-coding RNA, 19797 nt
Filed under: Triticum aestivum (bread wheat)
Lineage: Eukaryota; Viridiplantae; Streptophyta; Magnoliopsida; Poales; Poaceae
Description: long non-coding RNA (TAES_LNC000085)
Source: RNAcentral